GCCUCAUGAUAUUCCUAAACCUCCUGCCUCAUGACAUUCCUAAACCUCCUUCCUCAUGAUAUUCCUAAACCUCCUUCCUCAUGAUAUUCCUAAACCUCCUGCCUCGUGGACAUUCCUAAACCUCCUUCCUCGUGGAUAUUCCUAAACCUCCUGCCUCAUGACAUUCAUAAACCUCCUGCCUCGUGGACAUUCCUAAACCUCCUGCCUCAUGACAUUCCUAAACCUCCUGCCUCGUGGACAUUCCUAAACCUCCUGCCUCAUGACAUUCCUAAACCUCCUGCCUCGUGACAUUCCUAAACCUCCUGCCUCGUGGACAUUCCUAAACCUCCUGCCUCAUGACAUUCCUAAACCUCCUGCCUCGUGGACAUUCCUAAACCGUAUGAGCGUAUGAGAGUAUACAUGCAAGUGUGUGUGUGUGUGUGUGUGUGUGUGUGUGUGUGUGCGUGUGUGUGUGUGUGUGUGUGUGUGUGUGUGUGCGUGUGCCCAUAAGGCUAGAAUCAAUGAUCAAAGACAGCUAAAGGUAAAAAACUCCAAAGUCAAAGAGGUAAUGCACCCAACCUCUCUCAGCAUAUGGCCCACUAAAUGACUCCAGUCAGUCACUCCAAAUCUAAAGAUGCAAAGGGGGAGAAUAUUAGAAGCAAGCAUCCAUCCCCAAUCCCCAGCCCUCUUUCUCUCCAUCCCUCUGUCUCUUUCUCUCCAUCCCUCCCUCUGUCUCUCUCUUUCUCUCCCUCCCUCACUCCCUCCCCCCUUCAACUCGGUGUGGUGCAGCGUGUGUGUAGUGUGGUGUAGUGUAGUGUAGUGUAGUGUAGUGUGUAGUGUGUAGUGUAGUGUAGUGGGGUGUGGUGUGGUGUGGUGUAGUGUAGUGUGGUGUAGUGUAGUGUGGUGUAGUGUAGUGUAGUGUAGUGUGGUGUAGUGUAGUGUGUGGUGUAGUGUAGUGUAGUGUGUGUAGUGUAGUGUAGUGUAGUGUAGUGUAGUGUGUGUGUAGUGUGUGUGUGUGUAGUGUAGUGUAGUGUAGUGUAGUCUGGUGUAGUGUGGUGUAGUGUAGUGUAGUGUGGUGUGGUGUGGUGUAGUGUAGUGUGUGUGUAGUGUAGUGUAGUGUAGUGUAGUGUGUGUAGUGUAGUGUAGUGUGUAGUGUGUAGUGUAGUGUAGUGUGGGUGUAGUGUGUGUGUAGUGUAGUGUGUAGUGUAGUGUAGUGUGUAGUGUAGUGUAGUGUGUGUGUAGUGUAGUGUAGUGUAGUGUAGUGUGUAGUGUGGUGUGGUGUAGUGUGUGUGUAGUGUAGUGUGGUGUAGUGUGUGUAGUGUAGUGUAGUGUAGUGUGUAGUGUAGUGUAGUGUAGUGUAGUGUGGUGUAGUGUAGUGUAGUGUAGUGUGUGUGUAGUGUAGUUUGGUGUAGUGUGUGUAGUGUAGUGUUGUGUAGUGUAGUGUGUAGUGUGUAGUGUAGUGUAGUAUAGUGUAGUGUAGUGUGUAGUGUAGUGUGGUGUGGUGUGGUGUAGUGUAGUGUAGUGUAGUGUAGUGUAGUGUGUGUGUAGUGUAGUGUGUAGUGUAGUGUAGUGUAGUGUAGUGUAGUGUAGUGUGUAGUGUGGUGUAGUGUGUGUAGUGUGGGUGUAGUGUGUGUGUAGUGUAGUGUGUAGUGUAGUGUGGUGUAGUGUGUGUAGUGUAGUGUAGUGUAGUGUAGUGUAGUGUGGUGUGGGUGUAGUGUGUGUGUAGUGUAGUGUGUAGUGUAGUGUGGUGUAGUGUGGUGUGGUGUAGUGUGUAGUGUAGUGUAGUGUAGUGUAGUGUAGUGUAGUGUAGUGUAGUGUAGUGUGUAGUGUAGUGUAGUGUAGUGUGGUGUAGUGUAGUGUAGUGUAGUGUAGUGUGUGUAGUGUAGUGUAUGUAGUGUGUGUAGUGUAGUGUAGUGUAGUGUAGUGUAGUGUAGUGUGUGUGGUGUGGUGUGUGUGUGUGUAGUGUAGUGUAGUGUGUGUGUAGUGUAGUGUGGUGUGGUGUAGUGUAGUGUAGUGUGUAGUGUAGUGUGUAGUGUAGUGUAGUGUAGUGUAGUGUGUGUGUAGUGUAGUGUAGUGUAGUGUAGUGUGGUGUAGUGUAGUGUGUGUAGUGUGUAGUGUGUAGUGUAGUGUAGUGUAGUGUGUGUGUGGUGUGGUGUAGUGUAGUGUGUGUGUAGUGUAGUGUGGUGUAGUGUGUAGUGUGGUGUAGUGUAGUGUAGUGUAGUGUAGUGUAGUGUAGUGUGGUGUAGUGUGUGUAGUGUAGUGUGUGGUGUGGUGUGGUGUGGUGUAGUGUAGUGUAGUGUGUAGUGUAGUGUGUGUGUGUGUGGUGUAGUGUGGUGUAGUGUAGUGUAGUGUAGUGUGUGUGUGGUGUAGUGUGGUGUGGUGUAGUGUGGUGUGGUGUGGUGUGGUGUAGUGUGUGUGUAGUGUGUGUGUAGUGUAGUGUAGUGUGUAGUGUAGUGUAGUGUAGUGUAGUGUGGUGUGGUGUGUAGUGUAGUGUAGUGUAGUGUAGUGUAGUGUAGUGUGUGUAGUGUGUAGUGUAGUGUAGUGUAGUGUAGUGUGGUGUAGUGUAGUGUAGUGUAGUGUAGUGUGUGUGUAGUGUAGUGUGGUGUAGUGUAGUGUGGUGUAGUGUGUAGUGUGGUGUAGUGUAGUGUAGUGUAGUGUGUAGUGUAGUGUGUAGUGUGGUGUAGUGUAGUGUGGUGUAGUGUAGUGUAGUGUAGUGUGUAGUGUAGUGUGUAGUGUGGUGUAGUGUAGUGUAGUGUAGUGUAGUGUGGUGUGUGUGUAGUGUAGUGUAGUGUAGUGUAGUGUAGUGUAGUGUGUGUGUGUAGUGUAGUGUGGUGUAGUGUAGUGUAGUGUAGUGUGUGUGGUGUAGUGUGGUGUAGUGUAGUGUAGUGUAGUAUGGUGUGGUGUAGUGUAGUGUAGUGUAGUGUAGUGUAGUGUGUGUGGUGUAGUGUGGUGUAGUGUAAUGUAAUGUAGUGUAGUGUAGUGUGUGUGUGUGGUGUAGUGUGGUGUAGUGUGUGUGUGUGUGGUGUAGUGUGUGUGUGUAGUGUAGUGUGUGUGUAGUGUGGUGUGGUGUGGUGUGGUGUAGUGUGUGUGUGUGUAGUGUAGUGUAGUGUGUGUGUAGUGUGGUGUGUAGUGUGUAGUGUAGUGUAGUGUAGUGUAGUGUAGUGUGGUGUAGUGUGGUGUAGUGUGUGCUAGAUUUGGUCUGCCCAAUGUGGACUCAAUCCCUCUGAUCUGAACAAAGAGAGAACACAAAUGUCCAUCCCCUCGCCAGUUUUUUGCUCUCCUCCCUCUCUCUCUGUUUUCAUGUCGUUGUUGUUGUUGUUGUUUUUGGGGGGUGCCCAGUUGUGCUGCUACUGUUCCCUAUCAUCCUGCUCCAUGUCUCUCUCUCUCUCUCUCUCUCUCUCUCAUCCUGCUCCAUGUCUCUCUCUCUCUCUCUCUCUCUCUCUCUCUCUCUUUCAUCCUGCUCCAUGUCUAUCUCUCUCUCUCCCUCUCUCUCUCUCUCUCUCUCUCAUCCUGCUCCAUGUCUAUCUCUCUCCUUUUCCACUUCUCUGUGUUCAUCCGUUGCUUUUUCUGGGAUGUUUCACUUGUUUCUUUGUCUGUCUGUGCCACUAUCGCUCCCACACCCUCUCAUCCACCCCUCUCCCCCUUUUUUUAGCAUCAACACCAUGUGCUGUUCCCACAUCUCUCUCUCUCUCUCUCUCUCAUUCUAUUUCUCUCUCUCUCUCUCUCAUUUCUCUGGUCUCUCUUUCUCUCCCACUUUCAGCAGCGACAUCAUGCAUUGUUCUCACAUUUUGUUUAUGCCCAGCUGUUUCAUACCCAAGAUUUUAAUCCCAAAUCCCACCCCUCUGUCCCC
Long non-coding RNA from Clupea harengus (Atlantic herring), 3829 nucleotides. The record is from Ensembl. Lineage: Eukaryota; Metazoa; Chordata; Actinopteri; Clupeiformes; Clupeidae.